GCGAUAGUACGCACGUCUGAUGCCAGCACUGCCGCGUGAGUGAAUGAAGGUCUCUUCCGGAUCGUAAAGCUCUGUUGUUGGUGAAGAAGGAUAGAGGUAGUAACUGGCCUUUAUUUGACGGUAAUCAACCAAAAAGUCACGGCUAACUACGUGCCAGCAGCCGCGGUAAUACGUAGGUGGCAAGCGUUGUCCGGAUUUAUUGGGCGUAAAGCGAGCGCAGGCGGAAGAAUAAGUCUGAUGUGAAAGCCCUCGGCUUAACCGAGGAACUGCAUCGGAAACUGUUUUUCUUGAGUGCAGAAGAGGAGAGUGGAACUCCAUGUGUAGCGGUGGAAUGCGUAGAUAUAUGGAAGAACACCAGUGGCGAAGGCGACUCUCUGGUCUGCAACUGACGCUGAGGCUCGAAAGCAUGGGUAGCGAACAGGAUUAGAUACCCUGGGUAGC
RNAcentral lists this ribosomal RNA (441 nucleotides) under Limosilactobacillus fermentum. Its description in RNAcentral is "bacterial SSU rRNA". It matches the Rfam family "Bacterial small subunit ribosomal RNA", at positions 368 to 794 of the family's 1533-position model. Lineage: Bacteria; Bacillati; Bacillota; Bacilli; Lactobacillales; Lactobacillaceae. The record is from RNAcentral.